Non-coding RNA from Pelodiscus sinensis (Chinese soft-shelled turtle), 1249 nucleotides. NCBI's taxonomy places the organism in Eukaryota, Metazoa, Chordata, Testudines, Trionychidae. The record is from RefSeq and is a predicted model, not a curated record.
CCCAUGCCGGACUCACUGGAGCUUCCUGUCUCCCAGGUGGGUCGGAUCCUGCAGCGUGACCAGCAGCGGAGCCGGGCGCUGGUGCAGCUGCAGCGCAGUGAGGAUGAGGAUGUCCUGGCGCUGGACUACGAUGCCGUCUGCCACUACGUGGGGGGCACCGAAGACGACUGAGCCCCAUUCUGCCCCUUCUGUGGGCCAGGGGAUGGGGGCGUGGCCUCUCUGGGACGUGGCUGGACCUUGCUGGAGUUCGGCACUGGGAAACAGGUCGCCAUGGCCGGGCCUGAUGCUAGAACAACACUGGCUGGCUCCAGUGGGUGCUGGAGCAGAUGCAGCAAGACCUUGAUUGUGGCCAGCUGGGCUUUAGAACCAGGCUCCCACUGGAAUGAGAAGCGAGUUCUAGGCUGAGCCGAAAGCUGGGUUGUGGAGCAGAAAGGAUGGAUCCGUCAAUGGGUUUUUAAUGGGCUGUACAGAAAGCCGCAGUAUUCUAGAGCAUUCGAUGGGUUCUAGAGCACACGAGGCUUUGGGUUCGCAGGGAAGCCUCAAAGCGGGUUCUAGAGUGAAGACGACCUGUUCUAGAGAGUUCUAGAUCAUGGCGGUUUUUAAAUCCUUCUAGCGUGGGGUUUAAACGGUCCAGAGCGACUCUGGAGUGACCGUGUCAGGGGGGUUUUGGAGACAAACGGGCUCUAGAGGCAAAGUGGAUGUGGGCCCUGGAGCUGGUUUACACUAGGCCCAGGUGCAGUGUGCUGGGGGGGAGGGGUGUUACAGCAGAGAGGGGGCUUGGUUCUAGUUAGUCAUUUUCAGUCAAUGGCCUUUGGAGCACCGGGCCUGGGCUCUAGAUCAAGUCCGGUGCCUGCCAUGUGGGGGUGAGCCCGGAACCUGCCCUUUCUGGAGCACCGGGCCUGGGCUCUAGAUCAAGUCCGGUGCCUGCCCUGUGGGGGUGAGCCCGGAACCUGCCCUUUCUGGAGCAGUGGGCCGAGCUGGUGGUUUUAGUGGCAGUAUUGAAAGGGAGGCAGCCCCUGCCCCAUGGGAGAGGGAGAUAGCGGGCUAGGGAAGCCUGCGGCUUCAUGCCUCAGCUGGGGGCCAGGGCCAAAACCGUGCUCUGCGGGGGGGGUCUUGUUGAAUGUGGGGCCUCAGCAUGAGCCCUGGCAGGGUGCCCCCCAUGCCAGCUUCCAAGAUGGCUGCCAGGGCUUCACAACUCCUUGCCUGUGGGCACUUUGUAAAUCAAGGCGGGAUAAAAGUUGUAAAUAAA